Molecule: long non-coding RNA, 724 nt
Filed under: Marmota monax (woodchuck)
Lineage: Eukaryota; Metazoa; Chordata; Mammalia; Rodentia; Sciuridae
Source: RNAcentral
CUGGAAGAGAGUCUCUUUGGAAAGAUGACACCAUUUAUGAUUAGCACAAUGAGCUUUUCUUCAUAUAAUGAUUUUAGUAAUUACCAAUUUUAAUGAGUAAUUAAGGCUGUCAAAAUGACCAAAGACUUUUUGGCCUUUCAAAUCACACAUUCUAUAAAAAGAACAUGGGAAUGAACAUUUGACUUGGCAAAUAAGAAAAAAAAAAAAGAAAGAAAAGAAAACAAUACUUAACAAAACGUACUAUUCAAUGAAAUUUGAUAAUUAAAUUAUUCUGGAACACCCAUUGUUUAUUUGAUAAGCUCUUCAAAAUCCUUUUGUCAUGGCUCUUUAGAAUAUGAAAAAGGAAAUUGAAUGCAGCUGAGAAACCUUCAAAAAUUGAAAGUGAUGUUAGAGCUCAGUCACUUUUUUGAAGAAGAAAAUGCAAACAUGGAGAAGUAAUACUUAAAGGUAUUUACUUUCCAUGAUGUUUACAUUAUUCACUUAUUUAAAAAUCAGGCAUUGAUUCAAAAGAAAUUUUCAAGUGAGAAAAGGCAUUUAAGUUUCCUCUACAGCCUAUCUAUAUGGACAGCUAUAAAUUUGUCCUGUAUGUGAAACUGCUAGUAAUAAAAUUUACUGGCAUAUCAACAUGCAAAGAUAAGAUUCGUUCAGGACUCAUCCCAGAACCAAUAGGGAAGGUUCAUUCAUUAACUUCAAGUUUUUGAAGUUAAAAGCCAUUUUGUGGCUG